Dicentrarchus labrax (European seabass) is the source of this 3872-nucleotide long non-coding RNA. Lineage: Eukaryota; Metazoa; Chordata; Actinopteri; Moronidae. The record is from Ensembl.
AUGGUCGAAUCAGUUGUUCGUGGCUACCUUUGUGAGCCGCAAUAUAGCGAGCAGCGGCUGAGGCUUCUGCAGCCGAGGCAGAGGACCUGCCUGUCGCGAACGAGGAGCCCGGACUGGCUCGAGCUGGGGCGGACUGCUGGUGCCUGUGCUCUCGCUGUGCGCCUACGGACACACAGACGUCUGACUGUAAAACAAUAUCGCCUAACAGCCUUUCUGGAAUGGGUCCUGCAAGGCGAGAGAUUGGGUCGAGGCCAUCGUGUCGUUUUACCCGCUGAUGUGGUGCAGGCUAUCCGACAGAAAUAUCCAGCUGCAGAUGGCCAGUACUGCGGAACCGAGACGUUGAGGACGCUCAGGAGGAACUACAACUGUCAUUGUUAACAUAUUUAUUUUUGUUGUUGUUGAUAUAUUUCUGUAAAUAAAUGCUUUACAUUCACGUUGUUGUAGUCCUUGUUGGUGGGAGCGGCUUGCGGAGCUGUGCAUUGUGGGAGUUGUUGUCUUUAAUACAAAUGCGCCCUAAAGUCACUUUCUGUCUUUUCUCGGUCAAAUAGGCACCAAAUACAAAAUGUAUGUUACAUUUUGACUACAUAUAUAACCCACUUUCAAUAAAUAUUAAUGUUUCCACGGGUGAAAUGCUCCUUUAAGGCCUUCACCUGGGAAAAAGUGUUGAGAUGUUUUUGCAGAAUAAUUAAUUGAAAAGACCUUCCGAGCAGACUUGUACAAUCCUGAUGUGAGCUACAUAGACGGAAUGAGCAUCCAGGACGGUUUUAUCUACAGGCUGUCACUGACAAAAUGUGCUGCUUCCACCUGCAAAUGUUUUUUUACUUUUGUAACUUCACCAUAGUACUUCAUUCUUAAAAAAGAAAAGGUUGAGGAACAGUUUUGUGAAAGCAGCCAGACUGGCUAUCAAUAUCCAUUACUGCUGAGAUCCUAUGGAGCGCAUAUGGUACCCUGCCAAAAGGACAGCAAGCUAUGAAUUUAAAUUGUCUACAAAAUAGCAAACAUUUCACUUUUUUUAGCCGUACUGACAAGAUAAACACAAGGUUGUCACCACAAGUUAGCCCGAUGAGGGCUAAAGAGAAGACCGCAAGACAAAGCAGUCCUUCUGCACAGAUUUUUUUUUAAUAUUGUCACAUAAAAAAAGAUGACUAAAUGUCUCGGUCUCUUUCUUCCCCUCUCCAACAUGCAAAUCAUUUAACAAGCAAUCUGUCUUAAAGUAGGCCAACUAUUAGAGACAUGAUCCAUUUACUUUUAUCUGGCGGUGAUGGAGUAGAGCAUUUGUUCGUCGCCCGGCUCCUUUCAUAUUGCUUCAUUGGUGACACAUAAACCUGGCACGCUCCUUAAUGGGAUCUCAUCCAUAAUGUUGAAUGAGAGGGACAGUCAUUUCAUGUGAGGAGAUUAAAAAUAUGAUCUCUAACAAGGGCCCCUGCUGUCCAAGUUGACUCCCUGGGCGCUAAUAAAUUGGAGGGAUGAGAAGGGUCUCCAGAUGUGGAUGUCUCUGUCGGUGAAUGUAUGAUAGCGUCUUUACUGUAAGCCUGAAAGUCAGUCAGUUUAAAAGCAAUACUAAAUACUUUUUGAUAUUUCUUUCUGAUCCGAUUUUUCUGAUCUUAAAGACCCUACAAGGACCUUUUAUUGUGUGUUGAUUCUGGCUCAACCACCUUGUUUCAUUGAUUUCAAUCUGGAAUCUGGGAAUCUGACUGAAUCUGAAGCCAUUAAGAAUAACUAUGUAACUAUAUGCCAAUUGUCUUGCUGAUGGUCUUAGGUAGGUCAGUAUGAAAUUUAGUCUUCUCCCUAAAUAUUUCCAAUUUCUCCCAUUUUCAUACCUAAAUGCAGGCAAGCCCUCUUAACAAAACCAUUACAGGCAGACCACGCCUUGCAAUCAUCUAAUUUCUGCUCAAAACGUACUUAAGCACACCUUAUCCGUUCACUCCCUCCUCGACUCAGUUUCCACAUGAUCGGCAUCAGACAAGAAACACAAAAAACCCAGAAUACCUCGGACCACGGAAAACGAGCCUAUUCUCAACCCUUCAGACAGCCAACAUGUUUGAAAACUCCCGAAAUCUCAGAGUCCUCUUCUUCGCCUACCAUUCCUUUUCGUCAGCUGAGCUUCACCGCCGCUUCUGGGUUCCCAGCGUAGCAUCCGCGGCAACGCCGAUGACGUCACGGCGCAUCCCACGGCACAUCUAUUAAAUGUAUAUGUAAUAGAUAUUUUUACGUUUGUUCGAAAUACUGGUUCGCCACUUAGUUCAGGUAAGCAAGGAAGCAACAGUCAAUAGUUUUAUUUCAGAGUCAUCAUCGUAACAUUAGUUUACAGACGUAGAUGCAUCGACCUCGCCAUUUAAUACAUCCGUCCAAAUGCAACCCUCAUAUCCCCAGAAAACCACAAACCGCACUCGGUCCAAUCAAAUGCAAACAGCCACUAUCUUCCUGCUCUAAAGAACUCAUCGCAGUAGAAUUCACCCUCCCAUUCCACCCAUACUGCGACAUAAUUCGUUCAGCCUUCCCUGACCAGAGCUGUCAGAUACUUGACCCAACCCUGCGGUUUAGCGGCAACGGAUUUUAUACAUCAUAUUACGUUCGCAUACCAAGCCACCGGUUGCCUGCAACAAUUCAAUCAGGGAACUUGUGGGGCCAAAACACUGCUGUGUUCUCGCAGCUCGCUCUUCCCUGAAUCACUUCUCGUUACAUAAAUUCAGACAAUUUGCACUAGCCUCUGAAGCUGUUCCGACUUUAGCUUCAUCCCGCUCGCCAAUUCCAUCGUUAUGAUUAUCGUACCCACACAAAAUCAGUUUCGUCACUUCCGAAAAAUCCCGUCCAAAUCAGGAAUUUCCCCAGAGCCGUAUUGGGGCAUUCCCUGCAUCUGAGCCACAUCCACUGCUUCCAGGCAGGGAAUCCCAGAUAACGUCACUAAACUCCUCGGCAGAUGGUCUUCUCAAGCAUAUCUCACGUACAUCUGUAACGAUCUAAACGAUAUCAAAAAUGCCAUGCUUACAAGUCGAUUUGAAGUUUCUUUGGGGGCUCUCAACCCACUCGAUUCUCUCCAUCUCGCCGAACCCCUCUGUCCUGUCAUCCACCCGCCAACAAAUCCAUCCGUUCACCCCUCACCCUUCCUUCCGAUACCCCUUUAUUUCUCAACCUUCAACCCUUCAUCCCUCAACCCUUAUUCCCUUCAUCCCUCAACUUUUCAUCCCUUCAAUCUCUCAUCCUUUCAUCCCUCAACCCUUUCCCAAUCCAUUCACCCCUCCUACAGUACACCACAUCGGUUUUCAUUUGGUUCAUUACGUGCAAUAAACCUUUAUAAAUUCCACACGUUCAUUGGUGUGGUCUUUGUUAGUGAAAGGUAUAGUGUGUAACAUUUAGGAAGCUCUAUUGUCAGAAAUGGAAUAUAAUAUUUUUGUUUUGAAAGGUUAUAAUCACUUGAAUAUAAGAAUUGUUGUCAUUUUUGUGUUGACUCUUGUCUGUUUUUGUGCUGUUUUAGUUCUAAAUUUGUUUCUCACUGCAUAAGAAAAUCGAAAUGUGGCGCGAGAGCCUGUGGAAAGUUUCUAUUGCAUGAGUCUUACUGUCUCACUAAGCUUACAUCAACCAAUAGUGAAAAACACCCCAUUAUCUACAGCAACAACUUAUCCAAUUAGCUAGCUAAUUACCUGAAGAUGGCAAUGAACUUGUCGACCCAUAACUUCAAGUUUAGUCAUAUAUGGAGGGUUUAACUCCCGCACCAGCUGCAGGCUUGCUAACGUUAGCGUAAUAGGGGCUUUCAGGAUAUCAAAUAUGGUAACAUUUUACUCUUGAGCAUUCAGAUAUAGAGUGAUUUUGACCAGGUUAGAUGCAUUGCCCUGGCCAGCUUUGUAUUUUGUAUUACAGAGUCUGCGAUUGAU